CUCCUGCAGCGUUACGCUUGGCCUUGUCGGCGUAGUUGCCCAGCUUGUCGCUCCGUGGCGUUGCUGCUCUUUUCCUCCUCAGAAAGCGCCAUGUUCUUUCCUUCAAAGAAACUGUCUGUCCACCUCCGCAUCGUUGAAGCAAGGGCUGUUUUUUCUGCGGCUUCCAUCUCCCAGGCUCGGGCAGUCAGGCUUGCCCUGCUGUGGGGUGCUUGGAGCCACAGUACAGCAUGCUUUGGGGAAACAGAAAACCUUAAACUAUAGAUGAAAUUGAUGCUUUCAAUUGGACUGGACUACGUUUUAACAAAUGAAAACAUUUGGAAACAAGUGGAAUCUGACCAAGAUGUCAUUAGGCACCAGAAGGCAGCAUGAAAUGCCAGGGAAGAAGAUGUUUCAACUCAUAAUGAGGAUCAGGAUACACAGAGAGAAUACAGUUCUUGCCUUAUGAUUAGUGAAGCUGACCUCUGAAGUCCUCACCCUCCCAGAAUUUAUUACCGUGGUCAACAGAGAUCCAGAAGCAGAUGAUCAUCCUUCUGAAGAAUCAUCAGAAGAUUUCAGGGGAAGCUGAAGGGACUGAUCCAAAGACAUGGAAGGCUUCUCUGGAGAAGUUGGCUGAUGUCUUUGAAGAUGAAGGCUGCUGUUAAGAUCUGUGUUUCAUGUUUUUGAAAAGGGAACAGGAGAUUAGAAGCAUCCCUGUGCCCUUGGGGGGUGCCAAGAAAUAUGUGAACAUACCUCUCUCGGAUGCGGCCCUCUUGGACCAUCUUUUCUGCCGAAAUGCUGGAGUCCCAGGAAGCAAGGCAUCCACCCGCACGCGCAUGUGCAGUGAUAUGCUCUAGAGCGGCCGUUGGUGAAGACGGUGCGGAGCAGAGCAACUGGGGGGCGGAGCUGAUGUUUCCAACCGCGGAGAACAGGAUAAGGCAGCCAGAGGGAUCGCAUAUGACAGUAGUGUGCGCCCUCCACUGCCCCCCACCAGCUGCUGCUCAGGGUUCCUUGAUGAAGAUGCUUUGAGAAUUUUAGGUGAGACAAUCUAUGCUGUGUACGACUGUCCCAAGAAAAUCAACCCUGGAUUAUUGCAUACACUGAAGGAUUUGUGGCAUCCUUGACUCCCAGAUAUGAAAUGCUCAUAACUCCACCAGUCAUAGCAACAACUAAGAACCAAAACCAAAAGAUGCUGCCACACUUCGCUGCCCGUGGGUAAGAGGUGGUGUUAUCAGCCCUAUUGAGAAGGGCCUGCUGGCAGGCCCUUGGGUGUUGCCUGGGAUUAUGAGUACUUACUGCUCAAAAUCAGGGGGCAAUGGGGAACCCCUGGCAUCAGCACCAGCCGGGAGUUUAUUACAAAUGCGGAUGUUCACCCCUCAUCCUCUACCUCUGAAUCAGAAGCCGUGUUUUAAUGAGAUUCCCAAUGAGUUACAUGCACAUUAAAGUUUGAGAAGCAUCAUCAUUCUAGAUAGAACAUGGGCUUUGGAGUAAGAAGGUCCAGCACUGAGAUCAAGACUUCACCUCUUACUAGCUGUGUAACAAUUCUAACUGAGGCUCCUAACCUUCCCGAGCCUCAGUUUUCUGGUCUCUAAAAAGACCUAACAAUCUUCCAAAUGGUGUAGGCACAUCACAGGCAUUCAACAAAUGUCAUUUCCCUUC
Non-coding RNA from Leptonychotes weddellii (Weddell seal), 1635 nucleotides. NCBI's taxonomy places the organism in Eukaryota, Metazoa, Chordata, Mammalia, Carnivora, Phocidae. The record is from RefSeq and is a predicted model, not a curated record.